Molecule: ribosomal RNA, 301 nt
Filed under: uncultured bacterium
Lineage: Bacteria
Description: partial 16S ribosomal RNA
Rfam family: Bacterial small subunit ribosomal RNA
Source: RNAcentral
CAGCAGCCACGGGAAUACGUAGGGUGCAAGCGUUAAUCGGAAUUACUGGGCGUAAAGCGUGCGCAGGCGGUUUGUUAAGACAGGUGUGAAAUCCCCGGGCUUAACCUGGGAACUGCAUUUGUGACUGGCGAGCUAGAGUAUGGCAGAGGGGGGUAGAAUUCCACGUGUAGCAGUGAAACGCGUAGAGAUGUGGAGGAAUACCGAUGGCGAAGGCAGCCCCCUGGGCCAAUACUGACGCUCAUGCACGAAAGCGUGGGGAGCAAACAGGAUUAGAUACCCCUGUAGUCCCUGUCUCUUAUAC